This 785-nucleotide ribosomal RNA is filed under the name Cerocida strigosa. RNAcentral describes it as "bacterial SSU rRNA". It matches the Rfam family "Eukaryotic small subunit ribosomal RNA", at positions 964 to 1770 of the family's 1831-position model. The record is from RNAcentral. Lineage: Eukaryota; Metazoa; Arthropoda; Arachnida; Araneae; Theridiidae.
UGUUUCCCAUUAAUCAAGAACGAAAGUUAGGAGGUGCGAAGGCGAUCAGAUACCGCCCUAGUUCUAACCAUAAACGAUGCCAGCCAGCGAUCCGGCUGUGUUCCUCAAAUGACACGCCGGGCAGCUUCCGGGAAACCAAAGCUUUUGGGUUCCGGGGGGAGUAUGGUUGCAAAGCUAAAACUUAAAGGAAUUGACGGAAGGAUACACAAGGCGUGGAUCUUGCGGCUCAAUUUGACUCAACACGGGAAAGCUCAUGAGACCCAGACACAGGAAGGAUUGACAGAUUAAGAGCUCUUUCUUGAUUCUGUGGGUGGUGGUGCAUGGCCGCUCUUAGUCCGUGGAGUGAUUUGUCUGAUUAAUUUCGAUAACGAACGAGGUUCUAGCCUGCUAAAUAGACGUUCCGAUCCUUGUUGUCGGACGUUCUUCUUAGAGGGACAAGCGGUGUUUAGCCGCAUGAGACAGAGCCAUAGCAGGUCCGAGAUGCCCCUCGAUGCUCUCAGCAGCACGCGUGAUACAUUGAAGGAAUCAGCGUGUGCUUUCCCUGUCCGGUAGGACUGGGUAACCCGUUGAACCUCCUUCGUGAUGGGGAUAGAAGAUUGGAAUACCUUCUUGAACGAGGAACGCCCAGUAAGCAUGAGUCAUCAACUCGUGCUGAUUACGUCCCUGUCCUUUGUGCACACCGCCCGUCGAUACUCCCGAUUGAAUAAUUUAGUGAGGUCUUCGGACUGGCGCUCGGAUUGGCCUCCUGGUCGAGCCGCGUGCCGGAAAGAUGACCAAACUUGAUU